AACGAACGCUGGCGGCAGGCCUAACACAUGCAAGUCGAGCGAGGACUUCGGUUCUAGCGGCGGACGGGUUAGUAACGCGUGGGAACGUGCCCUUUUCUACGGAAUAGCCUCGGGAAACUGAGAGUAAUACCGUAUACGCCCUUCGGGGGAAAGAUUUAUCGGAGAAGGAUCGGCCCGCGUUAGAUUAGAUAGUUGGUGGGGUAAUGGCCUACCAAGUCUACGAUCUAUAGCUGGUUUGAGAGGAUGAUCAGCAACACUGGGACUGAGACACGGCCCAGACUCCUACGGGAGGCAGCAGUGGGGAAUCUUAGACAAUGGGCGCAAGCCUGAUCUAGCCAUGCCGCGUGAGUGAUGAAGGCCCUAGGGUCUAAAGCUCUUUCGCCUGUGAAGAUAAUGACUGUAGCAGGUAAAGAACCCCG
RNAcentral lists this ribosomal RNA (419 nucleotides) under uncultured bacterium. Its description in RNAcentral is "bacterial SSU rRNA". It matches the Rfam family "Bacterial small subunit ribosomal RNA", at positions 29 to 494 of the family's 1533-position model. The record is from RNAcentral.